Molecule: non-coding RNA, 243 nt
Organism: Xyrichtys novacula (pearly razorfish)
Lineage: Eukaryota; Metazoa; Chordata; Actinopteri; Labriformes; Labridae
Source: the annotation of a GenBank genome assembly
GUUAGUUUAUCGUAAAAGUUAGAUGUUUUAUUGUCCUUGUAAACGUGUUUGUUUUUUAUUGUGGUUUGGUUUCCCUGAUGCUGCCUGAAGUUCUCGCUGGAUUUCAGGGCUCAGGUGAGGAUUCCUCUGACAGUUUGAAUCCAGAUUUGGAGGUUUAGACAGGACCUGGACUCAGAGCAACGCGUCUGUCUGAUUUUCUUCUUGUCAGCGGUUAAGACGAUCGCGCAGACAGCCGAGUGAGUG